RNAcentral lists this ribosomal RNA (43 nucleotides) under Polyodon spathula (Mississippi paddlefish). The record is from RNAcentral. Lineage: Eukaryota; Metazoa; Chordata; Actinopteri; Acipenseriformes; Polyodontidae.
CUUUACGGGCCCAUACCCAGGCCCUGAAAUCACCGGAAAUUAA